RNAcentral lists this ribosomal RNA (497 nucleotides) under uncultured bacterium. RNAcentral's name for it is "partial 16S ribosomal RNA". It matches the Rfam family "Bacterial small subunit ribosomal RNA", at positions 28 to 507 of the family's 1533-position model. The record is from RNAcentral.
GAUGAACGCUGGCGGCGUGCCUAAUACAUGCAAGUCGAGCGAACUGACGAGAAGCUUGCUUCUCUGAUGUUAGCGGCGGACGGGUGAGUAACACGUGGAUACCCUACCUAUAAGACUGGGAUAACUUCGGGAAACCGUAGCUAAUACCGGAUCAUAUUUUGAACCGCAUGGUUCAAAAGUGAAAGACGGUCUUGCUGUCACUUAUAGAUGGAUCCGCGCUGCAUUAGCUAGUUGGUAAGGUAACGGCUUACCAAGGCAACGAUGCAUAGCCGACCUGAGAGGGUGAUCGGCCACACUGGAACUGAGACACGGUCCAGACUCCUACGGGAGGCAGCAGUAGGGAAUCUUCCGCAAUGGGCGAAAGCCUGACGGAGCAACGCCGCGUGAGUGAUGAAGGUCUUCGGAUCGUAAAACUCUGUUAUUAGGGAAGAACAUAUGUGUAAGUAACUGUGCACAUCUUGACGGUACCUAAUCAGAAAGCCACGGCUAACUACGUG